This is a non-coding RNA of Peromyscus maniculatus bairdii (prairie deer mouse), 3378 nucleotides long. NCBI's taxonomy places the organism in Eukaryota, Metazoa, Chordata, Mammalia, Rodentia, Cricetidae. The record is from RefSeq and is a predicted model, not a curated record.
GACAGAUCUGACACAGAGAGUAAUGGGAUUCUCUGGGUGAGGAGGGUCCUGGCCCUCCUCAGAUUUAGUCUUAGCUGCUAUUGGUUCUUCUAAGUUAGAGAAACAUCCCGUUGAAGUACCCACUGCAGGAGGCUGGAAAGCAUAGGGCUUGCAGGGAAGAGAAUUGGCAAAGUAGCUGGAGUUGAUAGCAGGUGUCGGGUAGUUCCCCCGCACAGCAGUCUGUUAACAGAAGGUUCUGAGAGGCCAGGCAGAGUUCCUUAAGGUGGGCAGAUGAAGUAAAUGAAGACAUGCCCACCAGGAAUGUUCUGAUUGGCAGGAACAACUCAUUCUAGAAUCAGGUCAUGGUUAGGAUGAAGGCUGACAUGUUUUUUUCUGGUCUCAGAGUGACCACCAAGCCUUUGAAGUUGGAAGGAGUUUAUUUUCAAAAUUAACAAAAGGAACCUCCUGCCAGGAGCAAUUUAUGGAGCUUGUUUCUCUGUUGUUGAAGCCAUGGGAUGAGAACAGUGUACCAAGAAAAGAUUUAAUGAGUUCUUGGAGAAUUAAGUCAGAUGAGGUUAUUAAAGGGAAUCAGAGAGGUGCAGGGAAGUUUCCCCAUGUCAUGAGAUUGCACAAAGUUCAGUAGCCUUUCCCAACCCCUGGUACUACUGCAUGCCCAUGUCCAUAAGCCAUGAUUUCCAAGUGACCUUUAAGGACUUCCUCUUGGUGACAGCAUGCUGUGGCUCCCCAUUCUCACCUGUUGGGGUUCAUAUGAGUACCAUGUCCCCAAAUAUUACACCCUUCAUUUACAGCCCACAAGACUCAAGGUCUUUGCUUCUGGUGAUCUUGCUCAGCUCAGUCUCUCCAUGGUAAGAAUCUGGUUCCAUGGUUCCAACUGUCAUAUGGCUCCGGGAAUGAGUAUUUGGCUUGUAUCCCAUGUGGCCAAACUCUUAGCAACACCCAGCAGAGCAGAGAGGGAAGAGGCAAUGUUUAGACAGCGUAUUGGCAUCAGGCUCCAAGCACGUUGUGUUAUGGACAAUGGCUGAUAGUGUCUGCAAAGACCAUAAGAAGGAUGGCCUAUUUUACAUUGGACAAAUAAGGAAACUGAGUCUCAGAGAGUUUAAUAACACACCCAAAGUCACAGAGCUAGUGAAGGGGAGGGCUGCAUUCUUCUGGCUCAACUCUGUAUUCUUUUAUUCUUCCUCUUUCCUAACAGAACAUACAAAGAACAUCCCCUCCUCUAACCUAAACUCUGGGACAGUGUUUCCUAGCAGGGUAGAAGCUGUUGUGUAGCAGUAUCCUCAGAGAUAAACUUUCCAUCUUGGAGGGAAGCUCUGUAAGAUGCUGUAUAUUCCAAAGGGAGGUGAAACAUUCUACUCUUCAGGGAAGCUUAGUAAAACUCAGGAAGUGAACAACUCAGUAGCCUCAGGAAGUUACUGAAACUGACUGGAUUCACUAAGCCCCUCCCUCAUCAAGCAUAUAUAAUCAGUAAGGACUGCUAAGAGGUGCUCUCACAUAAGACAAGCCACCCAGAGGAAGCAGAGAUCAGAUGAACUGACCAAAAGUGACAGAGACCAGCCUAGUGCAGGAAGAGAAAGAGACCAACCAGCUGUGGUAGGUAAAAGAGGCUCAGGCUACCUGAGUUGCCCAACCCCGAGAGACACUCUCUAAGCUUUUGAGCUGCCUGCAGGCUGAGCGGUGUGCUCCAGGUUUUCAGUUUUUGUGAACUACCACCCACGCUGGCAUUUGGUGAUGCAGCUGACUUUGAGUCAUUUCUGCUCCUGUAAGUAACCCCUCACUCAUAUUCCUGUAAGGGACCCCAAUAAAACUCAUUGGCCCACCACAUUUCUUUGGUAUUUUUACUUUGGUCUGUUGUGGGUUCCUAUCAGGGGUGAGCGGAUGUUUGUCCCCAUCCCCCCAGGAAGAGUGUCACACAGCAAGAGCCAAACAGUCCCCCCAUGACUUUUGGAGGCCCUAAGUUCUCACCCUGACCUUGAGUGAAUUACUUGAUCUAAGUAUCCGUUUUCAACAGCGAUAAAAUGGGAAAAAUGCCAAGCCUUGUAUCAGGGCCGUGAAUGUAAGACAAGACAGCAUCCAAGCACUUCACCAUGGCCAGGGGUAUUCUUAAUGGCAGAAAAAUCAGUGUUCAGCUGCUUACUGAGCUCACUUUGUUCUUUCCCCAUUGUGGCUCACUCGGGUUCCCUGGGUGAGUGCUGGUCCCAACCAUACUGGACCUGAACUGAUGAAGAUUUUACUGUACAGCUGAGAGUAAGUCUUUGGCGAUUCCUUUGAGUCUGGUCAUUGUGGGGAAGCAUGGAGAAAAAUCUAGAGAGAAUUCCUUGGUGCCAGCUCAAGAAAGGAAGUCGUUUUUUAGAUUCAAAGCCCAGGCUUCCAGCCAAGCUCUAGGAAUAAUGGAAACUGCUGGGGAUGGAGGGGAUGAGUCACUUACUUGGGGUGAGUCUGGCAGCCAGAAUUCCAGGCAUUUCAAGGUGUCUGAGAGAUAAAGUGGGGAGAGGCUAGAGACAGGAAGUGCAGAUGAUGAUGAGACUUUAUGGAAGACCUGUGACCUCAGCUCAGCCCUACAAAAAAGUCUGAGAGAGCAAGAUGAACUCCAUUUUUUUUUUUUUUUGCUUUUGUGUUUUUAUUUAUUUGUGGUGCUAAGAUUGAAUCAAUUUCCUCUUUUUACUCAGGCAAGGCACCAAGCUGCACUCUGAAGCUGCCAGACUACUUUAAAACACCAAGUCCCAAACACAAGAAAUAAAUCCCAGCCCACAGAGGAGUGGGACCUUGGAUCUGUAGCCUGAUAAACUCCAUUUUAAAGAAAACUUCAAUACUCAGAUAAAAGCUGAACCAAGUUCCAGAGACACAGACACCCAGCCAUUGGACAUCUGCUCUACCCUGGGUGUGCUCUGAAUGCAGGAGAGGAGAGACAAAUGAACUGGUACUUCAAUUAAAUCAUGCCUUUUCUUUGCUGCAUACUUGACCCUCACCACUCAUACACGUGAGCACGUGGAUGGAGUAAACCAGAGGUUGGAAAUACUGGGAGAAAAAAAUUCUAUUGGUAUUGAACUUGUAUGGGCUAUCUUUCUUUUUGUUGUUAUUCUCUAAAUGACAUUCUAUAGCCAAUAUUUUCAUAGCAUUAGCAUUUGCAUUGCAUUGGACAGUCUAAUUAAUGUGCAAAUGAUACAAAAUGCCAGAAGAAUGUUCCCGGCUUCUAUGGUAAUGCAAUGCUAUUGUAUGUAAGCGAACUGAACAUCUGUGGAUUUAGAUCUCCAUUCAGGUACUGCAACUAAUUCCCCAUGGAGACUGAGAGACACUUGUAUUUUUUGUUGUUUUCACACUCAAGGCCUUGCUGAUCCUGAAGACACUGUUCGCAGUAGGUCUAUCCAAUUCCUAGAGCCC